UUCCGGUUGAUCCUGCCGGAGGUCACUGCUAUUGGGAUUCGAUUAAGCCAUGCGAGUCGAGAGGGUUCGGCCCUCGGCAGACUGCUCAGUAACACGUGGAUAAUCUGUCCUUAGGUGGAGCAUAAUCUCGGGAAACUGAGAAUAAUACUCCAUAGAUCUAGGAUGCUGGAAUGCACCUAGGUUGAAAGCUCCGGCGCCUAAGGGUGAGUCUGCGGACUAUCAGGCUGUAGUCAGGGUAAAGACCUGACUAACCUACGACGGAUAUGGGUUGUGAGAGCAAUAACCCAGAGACGAUAUCUGAGACACGAUAUCGGGCCCUACGGGGCGCAGCAGGCGCGAAACCUUCACACUGUGCGAAAGCGCGAUGAGGGAAUCCCAAGUGUUUGCUCGUAAGAGUAAACUGUUUCUAUGUCUAAAAAGCAGAGAGAGUAAGAGCUGGGUAAGACGGGUGCCAGCCGCCGCGGUAAUACCUGCAGCUCAAGUGGUGACCACUAUUAUUGGGCCUAAAACGUCCGUAGCCGGUUUAGUAAAUGCCUGGGUAAAUCGAGCCGCUUAACGGUUCGAAUUCCGGGUAGACUGCUAAACUUGAGACCGGGAGAGGCUAGAGGUACUCCUGGGGUAGAGGUGAAAUUCUGUAAUCCUGGGGGGACCACCAGUGGCGAAGGCGUCUAGCUAGAACGGGUCUGACGGUGAGGGACGAAGCCCUGGGGCGCAAACCGGAUUAGAUGCCCGGGUAGUCCAGGGUGUAAACGCUGCUUGCUUGAUGUUAGUCGGGCUCUGAGCCCGAUUAGUGUCGGAGAGAAGUUGUUAAGCAAGCUGCCUGAGAAGUACGGUCGCAAGGCUGAAACUUAAAGGAAUUGGCGGGGGAGCACAGCAACGGGUGGAGCGUGCGGUUU
This 896-nucleotide ribosomal RNA is filed under the name uncultured archaeon. RNAcentral describes it as "bacterial SSU rRNA". It matches the Rfam family "Archaeal small subunit ribosomal RNA", at positions 1 to 903 of the family's 1478-position model. The record is from RNAcentral.